RNAcentral lists this ribosomal RNA (483 nucleotides) under uncultured bacterium. Its description in RNAcentral is "partial 16S ribosomal RNA". It matches the Rfam family "Bacterial small subunit ribosomal RNA", at positions 30 to 506 of the family's 1533-position model. The record is from RNAcentral.
AUUGAACGCUAGCGGGAUGCUUUACACAUGCAAGUCGAACGGCAGCGCGGACUUCGGUCUGGCGGCGAGUGGCGAACGGGUGAGUAAUGUAUCGGAACGUGCCCAGUAGCGGGGGAUAACUACGCGAAAGCGUAGCUAAUACCGCAUACGCCCUACGGGGGAAAGCAGGGGAUCGUAAGACCUUGCACUAUUGGAGCGGCCGAUAUCGGAUUAGUUAGUUGGUGAGGUAACGGCUCACCAAGGCGACGAUCCGUAGCUGGUUUGAGAGGACGACCAGCCACACUGGGACUGAGACACGGCCCAGACUCCUACGGGAGGCAGCAGUGGGGAAUUUUGGACAAUGGGGGCAACCCUGAUCCAGCCAUCCCGCGUGUGCGAUGAAGGCCUUCGGGUUGUAAAGCACUUUUGGCAGGAAAGAAACGUCGCGGGCUAAUACCCCGUGGAACUGACGGUACCUGCAGAAUAAGCACCGGCUAACUACGU